GGGGCGGCGGCUACCAUGCAAGUCGAGGGGUAACAGGGGAGUGCUUGCACUUUUGCUGACGACCGGCGCACGGGUGCGUAACGCGUAUACAACCUACCUUUUGGCGGGGAAUAGCCCAGGGAAACUUGGAUUAAUGCCCCAUAGUAUGGGAAUAUCUCCUGAUAUUUUCAUUAAACAUUUAUGGCCAUUAGAUGGGUAUGCGUCCUAUUAGUUAGUUGGUAAGGUAACGGCUUACCAAGGCAGCGAUAGGUAGGGGUCCUGAGAGGGAGAUCCCCCACACUGGUACUGAGACACGGACCAGACUCCUACGGGAGGCAGCAGUGAGGAAUAUUGGACAAUGGGCGAGAGCCUGAUCCAGCCAUGCCGCGUGCAGGAAGACUGCCCUAUGGGUUGUAAACUGCUUUUACAGAGGAAGAACCACUCCCACGUGUGGGAGUUUGACGGUACUCUGCGAAUAAGGAUCGGCUAACUCCGUGCCAGCAGCCGCGGUAAUACGGAGGAUCCAAGCGUUAUCCGGAAUCAUUGGGUUUAAAGGGUCCGUAGGCGGGCAGUUAAGUCAGUGGUGAAAGUCUUCCGCUCAACGGGAGAACUGCCAUUGAUACUGAUUGUCUUGAGUUAUUAUGAAGUGGUUAGAAUGAGUAGUGUAGCGGUGAAAUGCAUAGAUAUUACUCAGAAUACCGAUUGCGAAGGCAGAUCACUAAUAAUAUACUGACGCUGAUGGACGAAAGCGUAGGUAGCGAACAGGAUUAGAUACCCUGGUAGUCUACGCCGUAAACGAUGGUUACUAGCUGUUCGGAUCGAUUAAGAUCUGAGUGGUUAAGCGAAAGUGAUAAGUAACCCACCUGGGGAGUACGUUCGCAAGAAUGAAACUCAAAGGAAUUGACGGGGGCCCGCACAAGCGGUGGAGCAUGUGGUUUAAUUCGAUGAUACGCGAGGAACCUUACCAGGGCUUAAAUGUAGUCUGACAGGUCUGGAAACAGACUUUUCUUCGGACAGAUUACAAGGUGCUGCAUGGGUUGUCGUCAGCUCGUGCCGUGAGGUGUCAGGUUAAGUCCUAUAACGAGCGCAACCCCUGUGGUUAGUUGCCAGCGAGUAAUGUCGGGGACUCUAGCCAGACUGCGUGCAACCGCGAGGAAGUGGGGAUGACGUCAAUCAUCACGGCCUUACGUUCUGGGCCACACACGUGCUACAUGUAAGGACCGAGAGCAGCCCACUUCGCGAGAAGGAGCGUAAUCCUACGACUAUCACAGCUUCCGUAUCGCUAGCUGCACUCGACGGCCAUGGA
RNAcentral lists this ribosomal RNA (1285 nucleotides) under Salegentibacter sp. RNAcentral's name for it is "bacterial SSU rRNA". It matches the Rfam family "Bacterial small subunit ribosomal RNA", at positions 39 to 1324 of the family's 1533-position model. Lineage: Bacteria; Pseudomonadati; Bacteroidota; Flavobacteriia; Flavobacteriales; Flavobacteriaceae. The record is from RNAcentral.